RNAcentral lists this long non-coding RNA (277 nucleotides) under Nicotiana benthamiana. Its description in RNAcentral is "long non-coding RNA (NBEN_LNC039772)". The record is from RNAcentral. Lineage: Eukaryota; Viridiplantae; Streptophyta; Magnoliopsida; Solanales; Solanaceae.
AUCAAAGUGAUCAUAAUAAGGAGGCAAGUGAUCCAGAAGAUCACAUGACAUAACGCUUCAUAAAGUCUCAUGAGAGAUUCAGGUACCUGAAUCUAUGAAUGAAGAGAUCUCCAUGUUAUGUCUUUAUGAAAAUUGACUGAAACCGAUAUAAAAUGAUUGUCGACGACAUCUAUAAUAACGCCAAAUAUCGAUGAGGAUCUUGUGUUUGUCGAAUACAAACAAAAUAUUGGCCAAAUGGAAGAGAUACAAUUCAAGAAGAAUUGAUUCCAUAUGAAAN